UACGGAGGGUGCAAGCGUUAUCCGGAUUUACUGGGUUUAAAGAGUGCGUAGGUGGGUCUGUAAGUCAGUGGUGAAAUCUCCGAGCUUAACUCGGAAACUGCCAUUGAUACUAUAGGUCUUGAAUUAUCUGGAGGUAAGCGGAAUAUGUCAUGUAGCGGUGAAAUGCUUAGAUAUGACAUAGAACACCAAUUGCGAAGGCAGCUUACUACGGAUUGAUUGACACUGAGGCACGAAAGCGUGGGGAUCAAACAGG
This 253-nucleotide ribosomal RNA is filed under the name uncultured bacterium. Its description in RNAcentral is "partial 16S ribosomal RNA". It matches the Rfam family "Bacterial small subunit ribosomal RNA", at positions 524 to 776 of the family's 1533-position model. The record is from RNAcentral.